CCUACGGGUGGCCGCAGUGGGGGAUAUUGCACAAUGGGGGGAACCCUGAUGCAGCGACGCCGCGUGGGUGAAGAAGCGCCUCGGCGCGUAAAGCCCUGUCAGCAGGGAAGAAAAUGACGGUACCUGAAGAAGAAGCCCCGGCUAACUACGUGCCAGCAGCCGCGGUAAUACGUAGGGGGCAAGCGUUAUCCGGAUUUACUGGGUGUAAAGGGGGCGCAGACGGCGAUGCAAGCCAGGAGUGAAAGCCCGGGGCCCAACCCCGGGACUGCUCUUGGAACUGCGUGGCUGGAGUGCAGGAGGGGCAGGCGGAAUUCCUGGUGUAGCGGUGAAAUGCGUAGAUAUCAGGAGGAACACCGGUGGCGAAGGCGACUAUCUGGCUGUACAUUGACGCUGAGGCUCGAAAGCAUGGGGAUCAAACAGGAUUAGAUACCCCUGUAGUC
Molecule: ribosomal RNA, 440 nt
Filed under: uncultured bacterium
Lineage: Bacteria
Description: partial 16S ribosomal RNA
Rfam family: Bacterial small subunit ribosomal RNA
Source: RNAcentral